CAGUAGGGAAUCUUCGGCAAUGGACGAAAGUCUGACCGAGCAACGCCGCGUGAGUGAAGAAGGUUUUCGGAUCGUAAAACUCUGUUGUUAGAGAAGAACAAGGGUGUGAGUAACUGUUCACCCCUUGACGGUGUCUAACCAGAAAGCCACGGCUAACUACGUGCCA
This 166-nucleotide ribosomal RNA is filed under the name uncultured bacterium. Its description in RNAcentral is "partial 16S ribosomal RNA". It matches the Rfam family "Bacterial small subunit ribosomal RNA", at positions 352 to 510 of the family's 1533-position model. The record is from RNAcentral.